CAUAUGAGAACUUCUGCCAGCCUGUCAGGAUACCAUGUAACCACACAUGCACUUGAGCCAACCUCUUCCAGGAAGCCAGAGGCUCAUGCCCUCUGUCGUCCUGCCAUAAUAUGAAUGGGCAGGUGAGGAAGUUCUGUGACCCAGAAAGGAGAAGACACCUCUCUCAUCUUUAUCCUCUCCUUCUUAGUUUUGGUCCAGGAUACCCAAGAUACAAUUACUUCCCUUACCUUCUCCCACUUCCCUGCUCAGGAGACUGAGUUGUCUGUUUCUUGAGGGUAAAGAAUUCCUUGCUUAGGGGGAAGAGGAAAGGUCUAAGGUCUGGGAGGCAGUCAUUGAAAUGGCACCCAUUGUGAAGACUUAAUCAUUCCUUCCCAAAGAGAUAUGAAUCAUUCCUCUUUGGCUCAUUAAGGAUGUCAAAUCAUCUCAGGUCAGUAGAUUUAUUUUUAUAAGGAAAUGCUCUGAAAGUCCUUCUCAUCUCCCCCAGGAGAUGUGUGAUGAUCAAUUCUCAGGGGUAUAGGCAGGUAUCCAGGAGGCUCUGACCUUUUUGUGCAUAAUCCAGGUCCCAAACAAUGACUACCUCCCUUUGAGUGUCAAAUUGCUUAGAUUUCCCAAGUCUCCAACUGUAAGUGAAUGGGUUCUCUUUGACAGUCCAAGAUCCUGUGUCUCCAAAGUGAAGAUCCUUCCUUGAUUCCCUUUUAUUUGGGUAUGUGCUGGUCAAUGUUUAACAAUACAACUCUCUAAAUGGAGGACUUAAAAAAAAGUUUAAUCUGCAUUAACAUUAUCUCCAACACUUUCUUAAGUCUAGAUAAUCAAUAAAAGUAUAAGUCAAGCCCUGAUUUAUCGUGUU
RNAcentral lists this long non-coding RNA (847 nucleotides) under Monodelphis domestica (gray short-tailed opossum). RNAcentral describes it as "lncRNA (ENSMODG00000045964.1)". Lineage: Eukaryota; Metazoa; Chordata; Mammalia; Didelphimorphia; Didelphidae. The record is from RNAcentral.